CAGCAGCAGCCGCGGGAAUACCGAGGGUGCGAGCGUUAAUCGGAUUUACUGGGCGUAAAGCGUGCGUAGGCGGCUUCUUAAGUCGGAUGUGAAAUCCCUGAGCUUAACUUAGGAAUUGCAUUCGAUACUGGGAAGCUAGAGUAUGGGAGAGGAUGGUAGAAUUCCAGGUGUAGCGGUGAAAUGCGUAGAGAUCUGGAGGAAUACCGAUGGCGAAGGCAGCCAUCUGGCCUAAUACUGACGCUGAGGUACGAAAGCAUGGGGAGCAAACAGGAUUAGAUACCCCCGUAGUCCCUGUCUCUUAUAC
RNAcentral lists this ribosomal RNA (304 nucleotides) under uncultured bacterium. RNAcentral describes it as "partial 16S ribosomal RNA". It matches the Rfam family "Bacterial small subunit ribosomal RNA", at positions 506 to 807 of the family's 1533-position model. The record is from RNAcentral.